Molecule: RNA transcript, 2105 nt
Organism: Schistocerca nitens (vagrant locust)
Lineage: Eukaryota; Metazoa; Arthropoda; Insecta; Orthoptera; Acrididae
Gene name: non-structural maintenance of chromosomes element 1 homolog
Exons: 7
Source: RefSeq, a predicted model, not a curated record
UUCUAGCGUGUGUGUCAUUUGAAAGUUGUUUACAGUUGCCGAGAGCAAGAGAAGCGGUAACUUACUGCCCGUGACGCGAUAUUAUUUUGAUAGCAUCAAAAUGUGUACUUAGAUAAUUAUCAUGUCAUGAUGUUUCGCAGUUCCAUUGGUAUCACUACUGCCGGGAUAUAUAAAAGCGUUUCGUGCUAGACGUAUUAGGGAAAAAAUAUAUUACGAUAAAAACUUCAUAAGCAGCAUGGAAAUCGAGAAAGAAGUGUGGAAAUCAGUGUUGCAAAUUCUCAUGUUUCAGCCUGUAAUGGAACUGAAAAAUGUCACCGAAUUGUUGUCGGAACUGAAUGACAGAAGAACAGUGGCGGUUGAUUUGGACAGUGUUAUUCACCAGAUAAAUCGGCAUGUGAAUCGACACGGACAGCAGUUAACUAAACAGAUCUGUGAAAUUACAGAAAAUGAAUAUCUCAUCUUAUUCAGUACGAGCAACAACGCAGCUAUUCAGACUCUGACAGGUGGUUACACAAAGGAACACAGGGAGGUCUACAAAAGGAUUCUGGCAGAAAUUAUGACUUCAGAGACUUUGGGGUGUGUGUCAUCUACCCAUGUGCUGAAUAUGUCACAAGAUAUGCCUUUUCAUAUAACAAAAGGGCAUCUCCAGGAUAUUGCAGAGAAACUCAUUAAUGAUGGGUGGUUCUGCAAAAAGGAAGGUAAGAUCUACAUAGGCGUUCGCACCAUUGCUGAAAUGGCACCAUACAUUGCAGAAGCAUAUGCAGAUUGUGUUUCGAACUGUCACCUGUGCAAAGACUAUGUUUUUGUGGGAAUUGUCUGUGAAUGUGGUGUAGUAUGUCACAAACGAUGUGUGGACAAAAUGAGAAAAAUUUUGUCAGGUGUAUACGAGUGCCCCAAAUGCAAAGUUCAGCAACAGAUAUAGAAUUUUGGUAGUGUCAAAUACAGACAACAAAUCUUGUGCAAAAUCUUUGAUCUUGGAGUAGUUUCCUUCUGGAAGAAACUUGUAAAACUCAACACAGCUUUCUUCUCUAAACUGGUCCUUCACGGAAUAAUCAGCUCGCAGGUCAAUGAUUUCCAUUUGCAGUGUGCCUGGACAUCUUCCACUUUGCAAGAAAAGGGGUUCUGGAAAAUCUCGAUCUCAUUGGAAUAAGCGUCUAAAUACAAGAACCUGGAAGAGAUCUCCUUCAGAUCACCAAGAAAUUACCUUGUGAACAAAAAUGGAGAACAUUAAACAUGUUCACCAUUUGAUGACUGGGAGUUGGCAAAAUGUGCUAUUCAGCAAUAUCUAACAACUGGACAAUGUGCCCAUGAACUGCAGCCCUUGGCUGGCUGGACAAGACAUACAUCUGAUCGCUGCAGUCCCCGGGUCACCAGCUAGCCACUUACAGCAGCCGACCAGCUUACCUGCAUGAACAAAUGAUCUGGAAAGUCCACUUCCGAGUACACAGUUACAAUGUUUCCCAAAAAGGAGCAGAUUAUACCUGACAGUCUGGCCUGCCCAGUUUUCAAACUGCCACUAGAUGGUUCUUACAGUGGCAAAUGAGUUAUGGAAGUCAACAAUCUGAUACCUGUCCUUUUAUAACUCAAGGGCAUAUGUGCUAUUUUCUUGUAUUGCUGUUCACCUGUGAGCUUGCUACUAUUGAUCUCAUGCUAUUGUUGUUUUUUAAUUUUCUGUAAUAACUUAGUUACUGUUGAGACCGUGUAACCGUUGCUCUCUGCAACAUGCUUUAUAACAGUGAUUUCUUAUUCCUCUCGUGCUUGCUUAGUGGCAGUUUUAAUAACCUAUUAAUCUUGGAUUGAAAAUAUGCCAUCUUGGGACUUAGUGAUAAUGUCUGCACAGGUCAGUUUUCUAUACACGCUAAAACGGUGUUUACCCACCUUACUUGUAACCGUAAUGUCGAAAUAGUUGAUGGCUUCUUUAUUUUCUGUAAACCUAAUUUUUGGGUGAAUGGCACUCAUUCUCUCCACUAUGUCAUUAAAAUCGCUUUGAUCUCCUUUAACCUACAAAAUAGCAUCAUCAACGUAGCGGUAAUAGCAGACAACUUUACUGGCUGUUGCAGGGUUCUUAGUGAAAAAUUAGUUUUCUAAAUGAUUAAGGCAAAUCU